GAAAAAUUAGCGGAUGACCUGUGGCUGGGGGUGAAAGGCCAAUCAAACCGGGAGAUAGCUGGUUCUCCCCGAAAGCUAUUUAGGUAGCGCCUCGUGAAUUCAUCUCCGGGGGUAGAGCACUGUUUCGGCUAGGGGGCCAUCCCGGCUUACCAACCCGAUGCAAACUGCGAAUACCGGAGAAUGUUAUCACGGGAGACACACGGCGGGUGCUAACGUCCGUCGUGAAGAGGGAAACAACCCAGACCGCCAGCUAAGGUCCCAAAGUCAUGGUUAAGUGGGAAACGAUGUGGGAAGGCCCAGACAGCCAGGAUGUUGGCUUAGAAGCAGCCAUCAUUUAAAGAAAGCGUAAUAGCUCACUGGUCGAGUCGGCCUGCGCGGAAGAUGUAACGGGGCUAAACCAUG
RNAcentral lists this ribosomal RNA (402 nucleotides) under Salmonella enterica subsp. enterica serovar Paratyphi B var. L(+) tartrate +. Its description in RNAcentral is "partial 23S ribosomal RNA". It matches the Rfam family "Bacterial large subunit ribosomal RNA", at positions 791 to 1191 of the family's 2925-position model. The record is from RNAcentral. Lineage: Bacteria; Pseudomonadati; Pseudomonadota; Gammaproteobacteria; Enterobacterales; Enterobacteriaceae.